Molecule: non-coding RNA, 72 nt
Organism: Penaeus vannamei (Pacific white shrimp)
Lineage: Eukaryota; Metazoa; Arthropoda; Malacostraca; Decapoda; Penaeidae
Source: the annotation of a RefSeq genome assembly
GUCUCUGUAGUGUAAUGGUUAGCACUCCGGUCUUCAAAACCGGAAGACCGAGUUCGAUUCCUGGCUGAGACG